Acanthosepion pharaonis is the source of this 99-nucleotide non-coding RNA. Lineage: Eukaryota; Metazoa; Mollusca; Cephalopoda; Sepiida; Sepiidae. The record is from the annotation of a GenBank genome assembly.
CAUUGAAACACCGGUCCCCUGUACGAUCACCGGAGUUAAGCAACGUCGAACUUGGCCAGUACCAACGUGGGUGACCGCUUGGGAAUACCACGUACUGUU